UAAUCAGACAUCCAGUUCUAGUGAAGUUUAUAUUUAGACCUUGGUCACACAGUUGACUGAUGCUUAUUAGAUUAGCAGUUAAUCCCUUAACAAGUAGGACAUUGUCAAGGUCAGGAACUCCAGGGAAAUUAAGCUUACCAAUCCCCUUGAUUUCACCCUUUGCUCCAUCACCAAAGGUUACAUAACUUAUGGCAUGAGGAUGAAGGCCAAUUAGCAAGUUUUUGUUUCCAGUCAUGUGUCU
Molecule: long non-coding RNA, 241 nt
Filed under: Lathyrus oleraceus (garden pea)
Lineage: Eukaryota; Viridiplantae; Streptophyta; Magnoliopsida; Fabales; Fabaceae
Description: Pisum sativum (pea) long non-coding RNA (PSAT_LNC023567)
Source: RNAcentral